Molecule: ribosomal RNA, 1469 nt
Filed under: metagenome
Description: bacterial SSU rRNA
Rfam family: Bacterial small subunit ribosomal RNA
Source: RNAcentral
AGAGUUUGAUCCUGGCUCAGGACGAACGCUGGCGGCACGCUUAACACAUGCAAGUCGAACGAGAGAAGAGGAGCUUGCUUUUCUGAUCUAGUGGCGGACGGGUGAGUAACACGUGAGCAAUCUGCCUUUCAGAGGGGGAUACCGAUUGGAAACGAUCGUUAAUACCGCAUAACAUAAUUGAACCGCAUGAUUUGAUUAUCAAAGAUUUAUCGCUGAAAGAUGAGCUCGCGUCUGAUUAGCUAGUUGGUAAGGUAACGGCUUACCAAGGCGACGAUCAGUAGCCGGACUGAGAGGUUGAUCGGCCACAUUGGGACUGAGACACGGCCCAGACUCCUACGGGAGGCAGCAGUGGGGAAUAUUGCACAAUGGAGGAAACUCUGAUGCAGCAAUGCCGCGUGAGGGAAGAAGGUUUUAGGAUUGUAAACCUCUGUCUUCAGGGACGAAAAAAGACGGUACCUGAGGAGGAAGCUCCGGCUAACUACGUGCCAGCAGCCGCGGUAAUACGUAGGGAGCGAGCGUUGUCCGGAAUUACUGGGUGUAAAGGGAGCGUAGGCGGGAUCGCAAGUCAGAUGUGAAAACUAUGGGCUUAACCCAUAAACUGCAUUUGAAACUGUGGUUCUUGAGUGAAGUAGAGGUAAGCGGAAUUCCUAGUGUAGCGGUGAAAUGCGUAGAUAUUAGGAGGAACAUCAGUGGCGAAGGCGGCUUACUGGGCUUUAACUGACGCUGAGGCUCGAAAGCGUGGGGAGCAAACAGGAUUAGAUACCCUGGUAGUCCACGCCGUAAACGAUGAUUACUAGGUGUGGGGGGACUGACCCCUUCCGUGCCGCAGCAAACGCAAUAAGUAAUCCACCUGGGGAGUACGACCGCAAGGUUGAAACUCAAAGGAAUUGACGGGGGCCCGCACAAGCAGUGGAGUAUGUGGAUUAAUUCGAAGCAACGCGAAGAACCUUACCAGGUCUUGACAUCGUAUGCAUAGCUCAGAGAUGAGUGAAAUCUCUUCGGAGACAUAUAGACAGGUGGUGCAUGGUUGUCGUCAGCUCGUGUCGUGAGAUGUUGGGUUAAGUCCCGCAACGAGCGCAACCCUUACUGUUAGUUGCUACGCAAGAGCCUCUAGCAGGACUGCCGUUGACAAAACGGAGGAAGGUGGGGAUGACGUCAAAUCAUCAUGCCCCUUAUGACCUGGGCCUCACACGUACUACAAUGGCUGUCAACAGAGGGAAGCAAAGCCGCGAGGUGGAGCGAACCCCUAAAAGCAGUCUUAGUUCGGAUUGUAGGCUGCAACCCGCCUACAUGAAGUCGGAAUUGCUAGUAAUCGCAGAUCAGCAUGCUGCGGUGAAUACGUUCCCGGGCCUUGUACACACCGCCCGUCACGCCAUGGGAGUCGGUAACACCCGAAGCCUGUAGUCUAACCGCAAGGAGGACGCAGUCGAAGGUGGGAUUGAUGACUGGGGUGAAGUCGAAACAAGGUA